Molecule: ribosomal RNA, 500 nt
Filed under: uncultured bacterium
Lineage: Bacteria
Description: bacterial SSU rRNA
Rfam family: Bacterial small subunit ribosomal RNA
Source: RNAcentral
ACUCAAAUGAAUAGACGGGGGCCCGCACAAGCGGUGGAGCAUGUGGUUUAAUUCGAUGCAACGCGAAGAACCUUACCAGGUCUUGACAUCCAGAGAACCUUGUGGAAACACGAGGGUGCCUUUUAGGAGCUCUGAGACAGGUGGUGCAUGGUUGUCGUCAGCUCGUGUCGUGAGAUGUUGGGUUAAGUCCCGCAACGAGCGCAACCCUUGCUAUUAGUUGCUAACAUUUUAAGAUGAGCACUCUAAUGGGACUGCCCGUGACAAGCGGGAGGAAGGUGGGGAUGACGUCAAAUCAUCAUGCCCUUUAUGAUCUGGGCUACACACGUGCUACAAUGGGUGGUACAGAGAGCAGCGAAGUCGCGAGGCGGAGCGAAUCUCAUAAAGCCACUCUCAGUUCGGAUUGCAGUCUGCAACUCGACUGCAUGAAGUCGGAAUCGCUAGUAAUCGCGAAUCAGCACGUCGCGGUGAAUGCGUUCCCGGGCCUUGUACACACCGCCCGU